AAAGCCUUUCUCAGCUGGGUAGGUUCUCGGCAGCACCUUCCGUGACUUCAGGGGAUUUGUUCUCAGCAGGAAAGGCUGCUCAGAGAACUUGGGCCCAUUUCUGUUUAAGCCUUCUUGUGGAACGUUUCUCCAACAGCACCAGCUUGUUUCUGGAGCUUGAUCCUUUCCCAACCCUGAAUCGACUGUUACCGAACAGUUGAAGCUGAACAGGAAGGAAUUGCAGGUGUCAACUCACAGUUUACAAAUAUGACAUCUCCUCUGGCAUAGCUGGAAAUAUGAAAUAUUGAUUUAUGUGCAGUAAAAGGUCUUAUAAAAAUGAUCACAUACACAUGAGAGAUUAAUGCGCUGGAGAUCAAUAGAAAUUUCAUUCUUGACGCUAGACUGUCACCUAUGGUGAAAUGCUAAAAUACAGAAAUCAAUAUUAUCUAUGAAAUGUCAAAUUUAUUAUAAUUAUGAGGAUGAAAGCUGGCCAAG
This 474-nucleotide long non-coding RNA is filed under the name Anser brachyrhynchus (Pink-footed goose). Its description in RNAcentral is "lncRNA (ENSABRG00000018165.1)". The record is from RNAcentral. Lineage: Eukaryota; Metazoa; Chordata; Aves; Anseriformes; Anatidae.